CUACACGGGUAUCUAAUCCUGUUUGCUCCCCACGCUUUCGUGCAUGAGCGUCAGUGUUAUCCCAGGGGGCUGCCUUCGCCAUCGGUAUUCCUCCACAUAUCUACGCAUUUCACUGCUACACGUGGAAUUCUACCCCCCUCUGACACACUCUAGCCGUGCAGUCACAAAUGCAAUUCCCAGGUUAAGCCCGGGGAUUUCACAUCUGUCUUGCACAACCGCCUGCGCACGCUUUACGCCCAGUAAUUCCGAUUAACGCUUGCACCCUACGUAUUACCGCGGCUGCUGGCAC
Molecule: ribosomal RNA, 289 nt
Filed under: uncultured Oxalobacteraceae bacterium
Lineage: Bacteria; Pseudomonadati; Pseudomonadota; Betaproteobacteria; Burkholderiales; Oxalobacteraceae
Description: partial 16S ribosomal RNA
Source: RNAcentral